UAAUACGAAGGAUUCGAGCGUUAUCCGGAUUUAUUGGGUUUAAAGGGUGCGUAGGCGGACUUGUAAGUCAGUGGUGAAAGCCCGCAGCUUAACUGCGGAAUUGCCGUUGAUACUGCAAGUCUUGAGUACACUUGAGGUGGGCGGAAUGUAUCAUGUAGCGGUGAAAUGCUUAGAUAUGAUACAGAACACCGAUUGCGAAGGCAGCUCACUAAAUUGUAACUGACGCUGAGGCACGAAAGCGUGGGUAUCAAACAGGAUUAGAUACCCUGGUAGUCCACGCCCUAAACGAUGAUUACUCGAUGUGUGCAAUACACCGUACGCGUCUGAGCGAAAGCAUUAAGUAAUCCACCUGGGGAGUACGGUCGCAAGACUG
This 373-nucleotide ribosomal RNA is filed under the name uncultured bacterium. RNAcentral's name for it is "bacterial SSU rRNA". It matches the Rfam family "Bacterial small subunit ribosomal RNA", at positions 521 to 896 of the family's 1533-position model. The record is from RNAcentral.